AAGCCAAACAGAAGGCUGGGAGAUGUGCACAAGGAGCAGAAGUGGUUUCCAAGAAGAUUCAGGGAAAACAAAGCAGGAAAGAAUAUGAUGCAGUGCCAGAAUAUAAGUAUCUCAUGCCAGGGUGAGUGUGAAAGGCUUGAUGACAGCAGCCAUGGCCACAAUGGUUUGUCAUUUUUUGCACGAGUCUUCAGUUCAUGCUCUUCACACUUUACUCUUGUCCUCAGCCAUGGCAUAGGGAUGGGGAAGAAAUUGAAUUUGGAUUCCAUUUUUACAGGAAUGUACUUAACUCACACUUCCUGAAAAAUACAGACAACACAGCCAUUCUUCAAAAUUCUUAGUUUUCUGAAUUUUGCAUUUAUUAGGGGGUAGUGUGCAGGAAAAAUGCAUAUGUUGAUGCUGGGGGAAAUUGCUUGCAAAUAUGUCUAUAUUGGGCAAACUUGCAGGAAAAGUUGUAAUUGGCUGAUUGGUCUGUCCCUAGAAUGUCCAUAAGGAGAUCUUGUUUCUUAUUUUGAUAAACUACAGUUUAGUGCUAUGUCUGAAACCUAAAUAGUUGUUGCUUAACUGGCUUGGUUACUUGAAGGAAACCAGAUUUAUAACCAGUGAUUUGAAGUUUGCUCAUUCAACUAUCUUCAGUUAAGACUAAAUAAAGUUUUUUUCAGAGUUUUGGUAUAAAAGUAAGCUGUGGUUAAUCUAAAGGAAAAAUUUCCAGUCUCCUUCUUCUGGUUGCACAGGGGAAGGGCACAAACCUAAGGUUUGCCUGUGAUUGUUCCUCUAACCACUGUUUAUAAUUUCAGCCCAAUCCAGCCAUGGAUUGCACAGGGAGAAAUCUAGGCCCAUUCUAAAUUUUCCAUGGAGAUUGAUGAAUUGAUGGGACUUUUAAAAAAAUUACUAAGUAUGGGUAUACUCUGGUAGCCCACAGGUUUAAUUAAGCCCACUGGGCAUCCUAAUUUGACCCACGGGCCUUUUUACCACAGUCACACCCAGCUGUUUUGCACCUGACAUCAGGUGUGGGUCAGGUAAAGCUAAUAAUCACAAUAUACCCCAGAUUGUUUUACUGAAAGCUAGGCUUGCCUUUGUUGUUGCUUUACUCUCAACAAAAAGGAGCCUAGAAUAGCAGGUAUAGAGUACUGGAUACAAGGGUGAGCUGGGAAAUCUUUUUUUAUAGAUAUAUAAUAAUUUUGAUUAAAUUUUCCAUUAUACAAAUUCACCAUAUCAAUUUUUUUUCACAAAUUUCAACUUUUUAGACUUCCAUCAGCUUCUCUGCAAAUCAUCCAUAUUUUUUUUACAUACUUUACGCAUUCUCUAAAUAUAAUAUUGCCUUUUAGCAUACCCUUACUAUCCUGUUUCUUUUUAACAAUAUUCCUCUAGCUUUCACAAAACUUCUUUAAAUCCCACUAGCGUUGUUUGUUCAUCACAUAUACUUUUCAGAUAUUCUGUGAAUUUUGCCCAGUCCUCAAUGAACUUGUGAUCCCGUUGGUAUCUAAUCUUCCCAGUUAGUUUGUCCAACUCUGCAUAGUCCAUAAGUUUCAUUCUCCACUCUUCAAGGGUCGGUAGUUCCUCCUGUUUCCAUUUCUGGGCCAUUAAUAUUCUCGCUGCCGUUACUGCGUAUUGAAAGAGUUUAUAGUCCCUUCUAUUUAUCUCACUUCCUGUUAUUCCUAACAGAAAGGCUUCUGGUUUCUUUACAAAUGUAUAUUUCAACAUCUUUUUCAACUCAUUAUAUAUCAUCUCCCAGAAACCCUUCACCUUUUUACAUUCCCACCACAUAUGAUAAAAUGAUCCUUCUUUUUCUUUACAUUUCCAACACUUAUUACACGUUUUAAACAUUUUUGCUAACUUAACCGGUGUGAUAUACCAUCUAUAUACCAUUUUCAUGAUAUUUUCCUUUAACGUAGUACAUGCUGUAAAUUUUAUAUUUUCAUUCCAUACUUUUUCCCAAUCAUCUAAUUAUAUAUUGUAUCCAAAAUCUCUGGCCCAGUAUAUCAUAACCGACUUUCCUUCCUCAUCCAUUGUAUACCAUUCCAACAACAUUUUAUACAUUUUUGACAGGGUGAGCUGGGAAAUCUCAGCUCAAACAUAAAGUCUUUAAGUGCUCUUAGGCAGGUCACUAUUCCCUCAAGACUCAACCUCCGCUUUGCAAUAUGUGCAUUUCAAGUAUCUUCCUUAUUAGAAUGCUACAUUUAAAAAUUAACAGAUAAUGCUUUUAUUGUGUUUUAUAUCAUCUUUUCAGCAUUAAUUUUUUUUUAAAAGCAACAGCAAGAAAUAAUGCUAACAACCUUUAAACUUUGUUUCUCAAAGAUGCAUAAAGAUGGAAGCAGAUGAAAAUGAGAAUACUCUACACUUCCUUUGCUCCAGUGUACAUAGCGUGUACAUAGAGGAAUUAAGCCCUUCAGCAACGCUUUCAAGAAUGAAGCAAUAAUUGUGCUUCCCUGAGAACUACUCAACACACAGGCUGGACUCAAUCUCAUUCCCAUGACCAGCCUGAGAAUUACAGUCCACUUCUGACGCUUUAACUCAGAAGAUCAAUCGAGCGCUGACCUCUGCUUUACCCCUGUGGAUCUGUGGAGAGUUAUUAAGAGUGAUUAGUUAG
This is a non-coding RNA of Podarcis lilfordi (Lilford's wall lizard), 2587 nucleotides long. The record is from the annotation of a GenBank genome assembly. NCBI's taxonomy places the organism in Eukaryota, Metazoa, Chordata, Lepidosauria, Squamata, Lacertidae.